Molecule: ribosomal RNA, 572 nt
Filed under: Lysinibacillus sp.
Lineage: Bacteria; Bacillati; Bacillota; Bacilli; Caryophanales; Bacillaceae
Description: bacterial SSU rRNA
Rfam family: Bacterial small subunit ribosomal RNA
Source: RNAcentral
UAAACGAUGAGUGCUAAAGUGUUAGGGGGGUUUCCGCCCCUUAGUGCUGCACCCUACCCGCCCCUAAGCACUCCGCCUGGGGAGUACGGUCGCAAGACUGAAACUCAAAGGAAUUGACGGGGGCCCGCACAAGCGGUGGAGCAUGUGGUUUAAUUCGAAGCAACGCGAAGAACCUUACCAGGUCUUGACAUCCCGUUGACCACUGUAGAGAUAUAGUUUCCCCUUCGGGGGCAACGGUGACAGGUGGUGCAUGGUUGUCGUCAGCUCGUGUCGUGAGAUGUUGGGUUAAGUCCCGCAACGAGCGCAACCCUUGAUCUUAGUUGCCAUCAUUUAGUUGGGCACUCUAAGGUGACUGCCGGUGACAAACCGGAGGAAGGUGGGGAUGACGUCAAAUCAUCAUGCCCCUUAUGACCUGGGCUACACACGUGCUACAAUGGACGAUACAAACGGUUGCCAACUCGCGAGAGGGAGCUAAUCCGAUAAAGUCGUUCUCAGUUCGGAUUGUAGGCUGCAACUCGCCUCACAUGAAGCCGGAAUCGCUAGUAAUCGCGGAUCAGCUGCCGCGAAUGGCC